Molecule: ribosomal RNA, 462 nt
Filed under: uncultured Planctomycetota bacterium
Lineage: Bacteria; Pseudomonadati; Planctomycetota
Description: bacterial SSU rRNA
Rfam family: Bacterial small subunit ribosomal RNA
Source: RNAcentral
AAAGGGUGACGAAGCGACGCCGCGUGUGGGAAGAAGGCCUUCGGGUUGUAAACNACUGUCGGGAGUUAAGAAGUGUAAGGGUGUUAAGAGCAUCCUUGCUUGACGUUAGCUCCGGAGGAAGCCACGGCUAACUCUGUGCCAGCAGCCGCGGUAAUACAGAGGUGGCAAGCGUUGUUCGGAAUUAUUGGGCGUAAAGAGCACGUAGGCGGCCCUGCAAGUCAGCUGUGAAAUCCUUCUGCUCAACGGAAGAACGGCAGUUGAUACUACAGGGCUCGAGUGCGGGAGGGGAGAGUGGAACUUCUGGUGGAGCGGUGAAAUGCGUAGAUAUCAGAAGGAACAUCGGCGGCGAAAGCGACUCUCUGGCCCGUAACUGACGCUGAGGUGCGAAAGCUAGGGGAGCAAACGGGAUUAGAUACCCCGGUAGUCCUAGCCGUAAACGAUGGGCACUAAGUAGAGGGGUUU